UUAAACGUAUUUUGUUCAGUUUGACCAAAAGCAAAAACAACUACCAAGAAAAAAACUUAACAGAAAUAAUUUUGCUUAAAUAAUUUUUUUACUUUAAGUCAGAUAGUUUAAUGUCACGUGACCUCGUGACGUCGGGACAAGUACCUUCUCCUUGAGUUUUUCUGUCAGCCAUUUUACUUCGCGCCGACUGCCAAGUUCAUCUGACCCACAGGACAACUGGUUUAAUUAAGGUUUGAUCUUGAGCUCUUUUGCUGAAAAUUUACAUCCAUCUCUUCUAAAUUUGAUCAAUCAUGAAUUCCUGAGAAUUACAACUGUUCCACUUCAACCACAGUUCCUGGCUUGGACAAGCACCACAGCAAGCUGAUUGAGCUAUUCAGAAAGAAGGGAGGAGAGAGAAGACACACCGACAAACGUCCUGAAAGUUCUGGAUCAGAGCCUCGAGGUGAGCCUGAAAAGAGAAUGUCUGCUAAAGUGCCUCAUCGAUUACCUGGGGGAAGACGUGGACAGUCUUAUCAAGGAAUACUUGGUUUCUCAGAAGAAGGAAGCUGAGACGGAGCUGAAGGAAUCUACAGUAGCAGUGUUUGUCAUCAGGGAGGAUGAAGACCCUCUCCAAUCGCCACAUGAAAUUGGGAUUGUACUUGAAGGUGUGGAUGUUCAUGAGUUGCCAUCAGUAGCACAUUCAUUUACAAUGCUGUUUGGCCUCAUCACUGCUGUGAACUAUCCUGUGAGUUAUCCAAGUAAGCUGAAAUACACCUUUUGUAAAUAUUCAUGGACAUGGAACCAAAGAAAAUGACACGCAAAGUGUGCAGUCUUAGUGUGCAGCUUUAAAUAUUCUCUCUCACUCGCCCUGUCUUGCUCUCUCUAUAUUCAAAAGGUGUACAGUAUUUUUGCACUUCUAAAUGUUUGAAUACUGAAGAAGAAAUGUAUAAACCAUUUUUGUUAAACCACCUUGUUAAACAGUAAAAAGGCCAUAACGCACUACCUUUUAUGUGAAUGUUUAACAUAAAUACAGCCAUAUUGGCCUUUUGUUAGAAAGGCAGUAUAUUUUUUGUUUUUGAUUAUUUUAUUUGUUUUCAGGCUUACUGUAAUACUGGUGCAUAUUUCACUACAAUAAGUCACUACAAUAAACAUGGUCUUUUACUCUCUA
Molecule: long non-coding RNA, 1147 nt
Organism: Astyanax mexicanus (Mexican tetra)
Lineage: Eukaryota; Metazoa; Chordata; Actinopteri; Characiformes; Acestrorhamphidae
Exons: 5
Source: RefSeq, a predicted model, not a curated record